GGUAGUAAAGGUCGUAACAAGGUUUCCGUAGGUGAACCUGCGGAAGGAUCAUUAUUGUAUAACCGAGGUGCGAGGGCUGUCGCUGACCCGAAAGGUCGUGCACGCCCGAGUGCCCUCACACACAUCCAUCUCACCCCUAUGUGCACCACCGCGUGGGUCCCCCUUUGGCUUGUUCGGAGGGGGGCUUACGUUCUCACACAAACUUUGUAUGCAGUGUAGAAUGUAUUUUUUGUCUUUGCGAUCACGCAAUCAAUACAACUUUCAACAACGGAUCUCUUGGCUCUC
This 285-nucleotide unclassified non-coding RNA is filed under the name plant metagenome. RNAcentral's name for it is "partial contains small subunit ribosomal RNA, internal transcribed spacer 1, and 5.8S ribosomal RNA". The stretch from base 1 to 54 matches the Rfam family "Eukaryotic small subunit ribosomal RNA", at positions 1778 to 1831 of the family's 1831-position model. The record is from RNAcentral.